This 569-nucleotide ribosomal RNA is filed under the name uncultured Nitrososphaerota archaeon. RNAcentral describes it as "bacterial SSU rRNA". It matches the Rfam family "Archaeal small subunit ribosomal RNA", at positions 45 to 623 of the family's 1478-position model. The record is from RNAcentral. Lineage: Archaea; Thermoproteati; Nitrososphaerota.
UAAGCCAUGCGNCCCAUUGUAGCAAUACAAGGCAGACGGCUCAGUAACGCGUAGUAACCUACCCUAUGGACGGGAAUAACCUCGGGAAACUGAGUAUAAUGCCCGAUAGGACACUAUGCCUGGAAUGGUUUGUGUUCCAAAUGAUUUAUCGCCAUAGGAUGGGACUGCGGCCUAUCAGUUUGUUGGUGAGGUAAUGGCCCACCAAGACUAUUACAGGUACGGGCUCUGAGAGGAGUGGCCCGGAGAUGGGUACUGAGACACGGACCCAGGCCCUAUGGGGCGCAGCAGGCGAGAAAACUUUGCAAUGUGCGAAAGCACGACAAGGUUAAUCCGAGUGGUUUCUACUAAAGGAACCUUUUGUUAGUCCUAGAAACACUGAUGAAUAAGGGGUGGGCAAGUUCUGGUGUCAGCCGCCGCGGUAAAACCAGCACCUCAAGUGGUCAGGAUGAUUAUUGGGCCUAAAGCAUCCGUAGCCGGCUCUGUUAGUUUUCGGUUAAUCUGUACGCUUANCGUACAGGCUGCCGGGAAUACUGCAAANCUAGGGAGUGGGAAAGUANACGGUACUCGGU